AAGCCUUUAAAUGUGCCCUCGCAAGAGGCAUGCUAGCGACUCAAAACAAAUAGCAGCGCGCAAGUCGUGGCUCCGGCCGCGGCGACACUUUCGAAUUGACGGGGACGCCCUUAGAGCCCUACCCACCAAACCAGGCUGGAAACUCCUGUGUGGCCCAUGCUAACAACAUGGGGUAUGGUAAAAGAGGUAGAGGAUUGGGCAAUCCGCAGCCAAGCUCCUACGGGCCGAGGCCUAUGGAGAAGGUUCACAGACUAAGUGGAAGUGGGCUGUUCCUUGGAAGAUUUCAAGGCGUAGCUUAAGAUAUAGUCGGGCCCUCGCUGAAAAGCAAGGGAUAGUCACUGCUGCAGUUUCACGAGCUCGAGGGGAAAUUUUAGAAGACCGAUUCAUUCAUUCAUUCAUUCAUACAUCCGUGAGGCGUGCCUGCAUGCCUGCUGCCGGUUUGCGUGCCUGCAUGCCUUGCGCUGUGGGGUCCGUAUCUGCUUGCUGCAACUCGCCUUUCGCUCUGCUCCCCACUUCUGCGGGAUUGAAUGAAUGAUAGGGUUCUGAUGAACUUCGAGCUCGUGGGAUUCGCGACUAAUUGAAACCGUUCCGUAGGUGAACCUGCGGAAGGAUCAUUACUGAAAAGUUAUAUCCAGAAAGGUCAUGGAAGGGUGUCCUCCCUAAAAAGAGGGCUCCCGACCUACCCUUCUCACCCUUGUGUAUCUACCAUGUUGCUUUGGCGGGUCGACCCGGUUCCGACCCGGGCGGCCGGUGCCCCCAGCCUGGGAAACCAGGCCAGGACGCCUGGCUAAGUGCCCGCCAGUAUACAAAACUCCGAAGAUUAUUUUUUGUAGUUCUGAUGAUUUAUUCAAUAAAUUAAAACUUUCAACAACGGAUCUCUUGGUUCUGGCAUCGAUGAAGAACGCAGCGAAAUGCGAUAAGUAAUGUGAAUUGCAGAAUUCAGUGAAUCAUCGAAUCUUUGAACGCACAUUGCGCCCCUUGGUAUUCCGAGGGGCAUGCCUGUUCGAGCGUCAUUUCAACCCUCAAGCUCUGCUUGGUAUUGGGCGACGUCCGCCAAGGACGCGCCUCGAAGACCUCGGCGACGGCGUCUCAGCCUCGAGCGUAGUAGUAAAAUAUCUCGCUUUGGAGGAAGGGACGACGGCCGCCGGACAAUCGACCUUCGGUCAAAUACUUCCAAGGUGA
RNAcentral lists this ribosomal RNA (1182 nucleotides) under fungal endophyte. Its description in RNAcentral is "eukaryotic LSU rRNA". The stretch from base 860 to 1013 matches the Rfam family "5.8S ribosomal RNA". Lineage: Eukaryota; Fungi. The record is from RNAcentral.